UGUUGGUAAUAAGAUGUCUUGUUGCAGCUAUCCCCUCACUAUGUGGGAUACACGUGUACAAGGAGCUGACGUCAAUACUGGAAAGCAACAUAUCUGAUGGAACAACUUCAAUCUUAUUAAGCUGCAAAAGUAAAGCCGUGGUAUUCUUCAGGAUAUAUUGUGCAUUCUGGAUACAUGGCUGAAGUCCUCAAGAUCCUGGAUUACAAUCGAGCCGCCUUUAUCCGCGGCUCGAAUUACAGUGUGAGAGCGUGGUGAAUGGUGAGCACUUAAAUAGGUCCGGCAGUUUGGAACAUGAAUCAACAAAUGCCUCUGGUCAUCCUACUAAUGCCUCUGGCUACACAAAUGAAGAAUCAACCAUUGCCUAUGAAAGAGCUGCACCGAGAGAAUCUGGACUAUUGACUGAUGAGCCACAUACGUCAACAUUAAAAGCAAAAUUCCAUCUCCUAAUGUCCAUGUUUCUAAUCCAUUGACAGGUCACCCACAGAGACAAAACAAGGUUGAGAACCAUAAACAUUGAUAUCCAUACAACUAUUCUUAUGAUAUUACUGUUGUUUAAAAACAAACACAGCAGCAAAGCUGCAUUGAAAAGCAAAGUGUUGCAGCAUUGCAAUCAGCAGAUGAAGAUGAGACCUACUUCUUUGUAUAAGAUAUUCCAUGACCAUUUACUCAAGUGGAACAUUUCAUAAUGGAAACCGAGUGCUCCUUUUGCUCCUCUAGUUUAUCCAGUAUACAAAAUACAGUUAUUUCCACAACUCCAAACCAUCUUCCUUAUGGCCUCAAUUUUUUACACAGGGUGAAUGAAAUGAACCACCUUUAACUGACAAAAGCAACUAUGAAAAGCAAUUUAAGACAAAUCACUUUGUAGAUUAGUAAUUUAGUCCCAAUGUCAACCUUAAUCAUUUAACCAUGCUCUACGUUUGUUAAGAAAAAUUCAGGAAUUUUAGUAAACUCAAACAAAUAUGUUUAGUAACCACAGUUAUUCUAAAACCACCAGGGAAUACAACCAAGAUUGCUACCUUAUUGUGCUUUGUGAUUAUUGGUGGAAAUAAAAUUACGGAAUUUCCUUCUUCCUGGUUCAUGUCAUGUUCUAGCCAGUUAAGUGUAUAAACGGAUGUGAAAAUAAAAUUCAGCUGAACUAUAUUCCAAUUCCCUCAUUUUUACAAUGUUAGGCCCAUGGAUAAACAGCUCCAGGGAGAUUUCAGCAACGCUAUGUUCAAUUAAAACCUUACAUCACCAAGUUAUUACUAUCUGCUGUAAUUUGCAUCUUCAAAUAUGUUUUUUUUAAUGUUUACAUGCCCUGGCAAACACUGCAAUCUUUUGAAAUCUUGAA
This is a long non-coding RNA of Pseudophryne corroboree (corroboree frog), 1330 nucleotides long. RefSeq lists it as uncharacterized. The record is from RefSeq and is a predicted model, not a curated record. Lineage: Eukaryota; Metazoa; Chordata; Amphibia; Anura; Myobatrachidae. The transcript has 3 exons.